Long non-coding RNA from Portunus trituberculatus (swimming crab), 697 nucleotides. RefSeq lists it as uncharacterized. The transcript is spliced from 2 exons. Lineage: Eukaryota; Metazoa; Arthropoda; Malacostraca; Decapoda; Portunidae. The record is from RefSeq and is a predicted model, not a curated record.
GCUUGCACUGCCCAGGAAUUCAUUUGGUUGUGACUGCACAAGUCAGGAGCAACGUUAUCUCUAGACUACCUCCCUGCCGACCAGCUGGCUGACUAUGAGUUACAGCUGCAGCAAUAAUUCUGCGCAGUGACGCCACACUACCACUGAGGAUGACAGGUGACAGGUAUUUUAAGACUUGCCUUAAUGAACGUUUGUGGUACAUGUACCUCUGGGGUGGAGGACUGUCCUUCAGGGACAUAGCCAAGAGGAGUGGGCGGAGUCCGACCACCGUCAGGAAGUGGGUGAGACGGCUACUGAGCGAGAGUCUCGUCCCUUUUUAUGAAGGCACAGGAAACAUUGUGAUGGCACCCCAAGUGAUGCUCUUCUAGGUGUGGCGUAGUUAAUGUGGUUACUUCUUUUUUUCUCGGUCAACUUAUAACUUCAACAAAAUAAUUUGUAACGAACAAUAUAUUUCUUUGAAUUAUUAUUUCUAAGUUAAUCAAGGUUAUUUAUGCACACGAAGAUGGAGCAGCUGCUUUGUAGUAACUGUCCGAUCUUGAUCUGAUAACAAUGGUCACUGACAUUAAUAACCAUAACAUCUUACCCCUAAGUUAUGACAGCCAAACUCUUAAAUACCCUGUAUACUCUCGCCUCCUAAUCACACGGUAAUACGUAAUACAGACUUGUGGAAAAGGCCAAUAAAGUGCAAAAUACCAAA